This 584-nucleotide ribosomal RNA is filed under the name Salmonella enterica subsp. enterica serovar Derby. RNAcentral describes it as "partial 23S ribosomal RNA". It matches the Rfam family "Bacterial large subunit ribosomal RNA", at positions 1075 to 1732 of the family's 2925-position model. The record is from RNAcentral. Lineage: Bacteria; Pseudomonadati; Pseudomonadota; Gammaproteobacteria; Enterobacterales; Enterobacteriaceae.
GUGGGAAGGCCCAGACAGCCAGGAUGUUGGCUUGGAAGCAGCCAUUCAUUUAAAGAGUGCGUAACAGCUCACUAGUCGAGCGGUCCGGCAUGGAUAAUAAUCGGGCAUAAACAUAUUACCGAAGCUAUGGAUUUGUAUUUUAGAUACAUCUGGUAGGGGAGCAUUCUAUUUGCGCCGAAGCAGUAUCGCGAGGUAUUGUGGAGCGGAUAGAAAAGAAAAUGUAGGCAUAAGUAACGAUAAAGGGGGCGAGAAACCCCCUCACCGAAAGACUAAGGUUUCCUCAGCCAUGCUAAUCAGCUGAGGGUUAGUCGGGACCUAACGCGAACCCGAAAGGGGUAGUGGAUGGACAAUGGGUUAAUAUUCCCAUACUUGCUCACACUAAAAAGGGGACGGUUCGAUGUAGCUACUGGAGACUGACGGAAUAGUCAAGGCCUAGCCUUCGGGCGAAGCUGCUGUAGUGAACUCGGAUCCAAGAAAAGCCGAAGUGAAGCAACCCGUACCAAAACCGACACAGGUAGUCGAGGAGAGAAUCCUAAGGUGCUCGAGUGAGUCGUGGCUAAGGAACUAGGCAAAAUAGUCUCGUA